GGAUGAACGCUGGCGGCGUGCUUAACACAUGCAAGUCGAACGGAAAGGCUCCUGCUUGCAGGGGUACUCGAGUGGCGAACGGGUGAGUAACACGUGGGUGAUCUGCCCUGCACUUCGGGAUAAGCCUGGGAAACUGGGUCUAAUACCGGAUAGGACGAUGGUUUGGAUGCCAUUGUGGAAAGUUUUUUCGGUGUGGGAUGAGCUCGCGGCCUAUCAGCUUGUUGGUGGGGUAAUGGCCUACCAAGGCGUCGACGGGUAGCCGGCCCGAGAGGGUGUACGGCCACAUUGGGACUGAGAUACGGCCCAGACUCCUACGGGAGGCAGCAGUGGGGAAUAUUGCACAAUGGGCGCAAGCCUGAUGCAGCGACGCCGCGUGGGGGAUGACGGCCUUCGGGUUGUAAACUCCUUUCGCUAGGGACGAAGCGCAAGUGACGGUACCUGGAGAAGAAGCACCGGCUAACUACGUG
Molecule: ribosomal RNA, 467 nt
Filed under: uncultured bacterium
Lineage: Bacteria
Description: partial 16S ribosomal RNA
Rfam family: Bacterial small subunit ribosomal RNA
Source: RNAcentral